UACGUAGGGGGCAAGCGUUGUCCGGAUUUACUGGGCGUAAAGCGCGUGUAGGCGGCUGCCAAAGUCGGGUGUGAAAGCCUUGAGCUCAACUCAAGAAUGGCACUCGAUACUUGGUGGCUAGAGGACCGGAGAGGAUAGUGGAAUUCCCGGUGUAGUGGUGAAAUACGUAGAGAUUGGGAAGAACACCAGUGGCGAAGGCGGCUAUCUGGACGGUUUCUGACGCUAAGACGCGAAAGCGUGGGGAGCAAACAGG
RNAcentral lists this ribosomal RNA (253 nucleotides) under uncultured bacterium. Its description in RNAcentral is "partial 16S ribosomal RNA". It matches the Rfam family "Bacterial small subunit ribosomal RNA", at positions 524 to 776 of the family's 1533-position model. The record is from RNAcentral.